AUCCUGGCCCAGCAGGUCCAUGCACUAGAGAGGCGUCUCCUCUCUGCCUGCUACCAUCACCAGCAGGGUCCUGGCCUGACCCCACCGUGUCCCUGCUUGAUGGCCCCAGCUCCCCCUUGCCAUGUGAGUCUCACGGCCCAGCCUGGAGGGGUGACAAGUAGGGAUGUCAUGGAGCCUCUGACGCACCUUUUUGCAGGCACUGCCACCCCUCUACUCCUGCCCCUGCUGCCACAUCUGCCCACUGUGUCGAGUGCCCCUGGCCCACUGGGCCUGCCUGCCAGGGGAGCACCACCUGCCCCAGACAAGUCCCUGGCUGUCACUGGCAUCUACACGGGCCGGCAAAGAAGACCUUUGAGAGGACUUUUUUGAAAGUUGGGCAGACGUGUCUUUCUCAAGAACC
RNAcentral lists this long non-coding RNA (400 nucleotides) under Homo sapiens (human). RNAcentral's name for it is "non-protein coding lnc-KIF12-1:3". The record is from RNAcentral. Lineage: Eukaryota; Metazoa; Chordata; Mammalia; Primates; Hominidae.